RNAcentral lists this ribosomal RNA (693 nucleotides) under uncultured Bacteroidota bacterium. Its description in RNAcentral is "bacterial SSU rRNA". It matches the Rfam family "Bacterial small subunit ribosomal RNA", at positions 8 to 693 of the family's 1533-position model. Lineage: Bacteria; Pseudomonadati; Bacteroidota. The record is from RNAcentral.
AGAGUUUGAUCCUGGCUCAGGAUGAACGCUAGCGGCAGGCUUAACACAUGCAAGUCGAGGGGCAGCAGUACCGCUUCGGUGGUAGCUGGCGACCGGCGCACGGGUGAGUAACGCGUAUGGAACCUGCCUACAACAGGGGUAUAGCCUUCGGAAACGAGGGUUAAUCCCCCAUAAAGUUUACCGGUGGCCUCACCGGUAUAUUAAAGCCACGGCGGUUGUAGAUGGCCAUGCGUACCAUUAGUUAGUUGGUAAGGUAAAGGCUUACCAAGGCGGCGAUGGUUAGGGGUCCUGAGAGGGUAGUCCCCCACACUGGUACUGAGACACGGACCAGACUCCUACGGGAGGCAGCAGUGAGGAAUAUUGGUCAAUGGGCGCUAGCCUGAACCAGCCAUGCCGCGUGCAGGAAGACGGCCCUACGGGUUGUAAACUGCUUUUCUGCGGGAAGAAUACCGUGUAUUCGUUACAGGGUUGACGGUACCGCAGGAAUAAGCACCGGCUAACUCCGUGCCAGCAGCCGCGGUAAUACGGAGGAUGCAAGCGUUAUCCGGAUUCAUUGGGUUUAAAGGGUGCGUAGGCGGUGUAGCAAGUCAGUGGUGAAAGCCCGGAGCUUAACUCCGGGAUUGCCAUUGAAACUGUUGCACUAGAGUGUAGUCGAGGACGGCGGAAUGAGUUGUGUAGCGGUGAAAUGCGUAG